GCCCAGUGCUGCCAGUCCAAGUACUGGUGCCAGGCCUGGUUCCUCUGGCGUGGGUGUCCUGUGGUAAUUGCUGGAAACCGGUGUGAACACUGAGUCAGCGUGUCCAGAGUGAGUCACUGGGGAGUGGGUGCCCACCUGCCACAGGAGGAGGCAUGCUGGGGUGGUCGUGUGGCUGCCAGGAGUGGCAACACCAGCCUCGCUCACUGAUGCUGCCGGAGCUGCGUGUGAACGGCCCCAGCCUGGCUGGAGCUCUGCCCGAGUGCCACCACCCAGGAGUGCAGGAAGCAGAUUCCAGGGCAGGAUCCCAUCACCUCUGCUUUCGUCAGACUCUAUGCAAGUCACGGACGGGGUAUGGAGUGCUCCGAGGCACCCUAAGGACACGCAUGAACAGAUCGUGGGCACAGGCAGCACUCUGAGCACUCCAGUCCAUCUUCCCCUGCUGCAUCCUGACCAGCUCGUGCCAUGGAUCCUGCCUUGCCUUCCCCAGGGAAUCCUGCCCUGCUUGGUGAUUCGUGCGAGCUGUGGCUCCUGGCGAGCCCCGACCUGCGAGGGGGUGAUGGGCUGGGGGCUGGGCAGCAGCUCUGGCAGCACCUUCACCCCUGGCUUGGGGUGCAUCCGCCUCUCCCCACGCAGAGGAAGCGUCAGCAGAGCAUCCAUCACCCCGCACCUGCUCAGCCCGUCCUGGGCUGCUGGCCAGCGGCAGGAGGAGCCCGGCCUCCUGGCUGAGUCACGGCCAAGCUGGAUGAGGGACUUGUCCUGCUGCCAUGGGACAGGGAUGUGACACGGCCUGGCUGUGGCAGGAGGACAAGGCAGCACCUUGGAGUCCCAAAACAGUUGCCCCAGCUCAGUGCCUUUCUCCAUUUCUGCUGCAUGGUGCCGAGGAGGGGGCUGGGGGGGCACUGAGCUGGAGAGGGGCUCACAGCCCACACUGGGGAGAGAAGCCAUCUGCCCAUGUGCCGUGGCUGUGGCACAAAGGGCUCUCGGGGGGGAUGGUUCUGGUCACCCUCUCCCUGCCACCCUCAGGCAGGGAAGGCAUGGGCAGGGCUGCAGGGGCUCCGUGCCCGGCAGUGUGGAGUUGGGGGGACCAGUGGCAAGGAUGGGG
Molecule: non-coding RNA, 1102 nt
Organism: Pseudopodoces humilis (Tibetan ground-tit)
Lineage: Eukaryota; Metazoa; Chordata; Aves; Passeriformes; Paridae
Source: RefSeq, a predicted model, not a curated record